Molecule: unclassified non-coding RNA, 333 nt
Filed under: Hevea brasiliensis (rubber tree)
Lineage: Eukaryota; Viridiplantae; Streptophyta; Magnoliopsida; Malpighiales; Euphorbiaceae
Source: RNAcentral
GACAAUAGCUACAAAACGACAACUCGAAGUCCAUAUCAUCAUGCUACCUGCAAGACUAAUGUUUCUCUCUCUCUCUCUAGACUUUAUCCUCGUUCUGAUUCUUGAAUCGUUCGCCCAAAAUUACAAAAUUAAAACAAAAGCCUACAAACCCUAGAAGGCUCUCCACAAAUCGUGUCUCAGAUCAUCUCAAGGUCUUUAUCAUCGCUUCUCUCAAUUCCUUUUUUCUCUUUAUGCCCUAAUUUGGUUUUUCAGGUUUUCAUUUUCUUUUAAUUGUAUAUAUGUCUGCAGCUUUGGAGGUCAAUAGGGAAAUAUUUUUAGAGAGAGAGAGAGAGA